This is a long non-coding RNA of Leptonychotes weddellii (Weddell seal), 1401 nucleotides long. RefSeq lists it as uncharacterized. Lineage: Eukaryota; Metazoa; Chordata; Mammalia; Carnivora; Phocidae. The record is from RefSeq and is a predicted model, not a curated record.
ACCAGAUUUCCAUUUCUUUCAGCACACCACUGUGGCCCUGGGAGAGUGUCUGUGAACCCAACUCAAGAACAGCUUGCUUCAUGUUUCUCUGAGGCACAUGAUGUGGUGGGUGAGGUCGGCUGCUCUGAUGGCACCUCUUCCAAGCGAUGAAAAACACGGAAAGGACUCUGCUCCAAAUUAAGGGAAACAUGGCAGCUUUGGAGGCCCACAGAUUGGCUAGGCAUGGUGUCUGCAAACUCCCCACUAAAGCGUCAUCUUGUGGAAUGUCAAGCAUGGCUUUGACCAGUACCCUCUUCGUAAGAGAACCUUCCCACAAGAAAACCAGAAGGUAAAGCUGCGUUCAGGGAGUACCACCUACAUAUGAGGAAGCCAGUGAGUUGUAAGCAGCAGUCAUGAGAGGCUUCAAGAAGAGCUCUUUAAAGGGAUUAACUCAGUUAGAUCCAUUUUGCCUGUCUGCUCUACCCCUUCAUUUCUGCCUGAAACUUAGUUGUGAUGGCUGGAGUUUUUGCAACCAUGCUGUAAUCAGGAGUCUGGGCUGCGGGUGACAUAAAGCUGCCAUCAAGUCCUGGAUGGUCUAUCCUUGGACCUAUCAUAUAAGAAUGAAAACCAAAUGUCUUUAAGAAGAUAUCCGGGGAGACUUUGCUAUGACAACUGCAGUAGCUUAAAGAUGACCACAGAUUCUUUUCCCCUCUUACCAUAGAGCGGUAGAAUCUGUUUCCCUUAUCUUUAAAUCUGGGCUAGCCCUGUGGCCUGUUCUGACCAAUAGGAUGUGGCACCUGUGAUAUCUGCUGGGUCUAGGCUUUAAGGUAUCUGCCACUUCCGCCUCUGCCACUUAGAACAUCCCCUGUCAGAACCCAGCGGUCUUGCUUGAGAAAUCCAAGCCAGAUGACGAGACCAUGUGGAGAAAAACUGAGACACUCUGUUUGUUAGGAGUUAGUUGGACAGUGAGGUAGUCAGGGCCAGGGUCCCCAGCAAGAAUAUACGGAGUCAGGAUAGCUAAAAUAAAACAGCACUGACAUCCUGUUUUGCAGCUCAGAUACGAGUGCACUGACAUUCUGCUAUGCAGCCUUUGCAGAAAUGACUUCUGCAAAACAUCCUAAAAUAAGACAAUUAACCAUAAAAGCAUUUGUCAAUAUCACAGGCAAAAGGCAGUUAAGACCUAAGCCCCCAGAUGUCAGCAAAAAAAGGACCAUCAGCACGUGGACAUUAACCUAAUAGGUAGACAGAUACGUGACCAAAGCCCUGACUGGCAUGACUCAGCACACCCUGAUUGCUUAAGGAAGUUCCCCAAAAGACCUCAUAAAAACCCCUACACUUAGAAACUCAGAGGACAACCCACUCGGGUCCCCCUCUCUCUCCGGGAGCUUUGUGCUCUUGCUCAAUAAACGUUGCUUUGCUGCC